This 253-nucleotide ribosomal RNA is filed under the name uncultured bacterium. RNAcentral describes it as "partial 16S ribosomal RNA". It matches the Rfam family "Bacterial small subunit ribosomal RNA", at positions 524 to 776 of the family's 1533-position model. The record is from RNAcentral.
UACGUAGGGUGCAAGCGUUGUCCGGAAUUAUUGGGCGUAAAGAGCUCGUAGGCGGUUUGUCGCGUCUGCCGUGAAAGUCCGGGGCUCAACUCCGGAUCUGCGGUGGGUACGGGCAGACUAGAGUGAUGUAGGGGAGACUGGAAUUCCUGGUGUAGCGGUGGAAUGCGCAGAUAUCAGGAGGAACACCGGUGGCGAAGGCGGGUCUCUGGGCAGUAACUGACGCUGAGGAGCGAAAGCGUGGGGAGCGAACAGG